RNAcentral lists this ribosomal RNA (253 nucleotides) under uncultured bacterium. RNAcentral describes it as "partial 16S ribosomal RNA". It matches the Rfam family "Bacterial small subunit ribosomal RNA", at positions 524 to 776 of the family's 1533-position model. The record is from RNAcentral.
UACGUAGGGUGCGAGCGUUGUCCGGAAUUACUGGGCGUAAAGAGCUCGUAGGCGGUUUGUCGCGUUGUUCGUGAAAACUCACAGCUCAACUGUGGGCGUGCGGGCGAUACGGGCAGACUGGAGUACUGCAGGGGAGACUGGAAUUCCUGGUGUAGCGGUGGAAUGCGCAGAUAUCAGGAGGAACACCGGUGGCGAAGGCGGCAUCCUGGACCAACACUGACACUGAGGAGCGAAAGCCAGGGGAGCAAACGGG